RNAcentral lists this non-coding RNA (28 nucleotides) under Cricetulus griseus (Chinese hamster). The record is from RNAcentral. Lineage: Eukaryota; Metazoa; Chordata; Mammalia; Rodentia; Cricetidae.
UGCUAGAGUCAGCUUUUCUCACUGUGUG